UUCGGGCCACUUUUAUAUUUUCGUUAACUGGACUAUAGAAAGAUGAUUUUUUAAAGUUACAAAAGAAAAAAAAGGGAGAAAUUUAAAAAUAGCCGGAUUUACAAGUGGUCUGUCACGACCCAAACCGAUGGGCCACGACGGGCACCCGGUACCUUACUCAACCGAGUACCAAUUUAACGUAUAUUUCUUAUUACAUCAUCAUACACACGUGACAUACAUGCCUAAUAUGUCAACAUGAUCAUUUAUAAACUCAAAACAUAAGCCGACAAGGCCGUACAAUCUUUCACGUACACGGCAUAUGUGUACAAGCCUCUAAGAGUACAUAAAUGUCAUAAAGGUCAGGACAGGGCCCUGCUAUACUAAUCAGUACAUGUCCUAAUCAUACUGACCACAUAAGCAACUCCAGAGCAAAUGGAGCGCUCCAACACCUUCCGCUGAGCUGAUAGCCUACUUGGAGGACUCUCGACCUGUCUAUCAGGACUGCGGGCAUGAAGCACAGCGUCCCCAAGCAAAAGGGACGUCAAUACGAAUAAUGUACCGAGUAUAUAACACUCAUAAAUAAGUACAUAACAUACAUGGAAGAAAUAUAAAGUAACGGACUCAACUUGUAAGUAUGGCUAGCUCUGUAAAUCAUGAAAUAAUUAUAGUGUCAUGCAUAUGCGUAUGAAUGUCAUGUCGUGCAUAGGUACAUGUUUCGUAACAUCAUCAGGCUUCUAAGGACAUCCCAUCAUAUCAUCUCGGCCACUGUGGGCAAAAUCAUCAACGUAUACCAGCUGAUCAGGUGGUGGUGCAUAUAUAACGCCAUAACUUUUUUCCAUAUCCCAUAAAAAUAUAAUAUACAUAUAUAUGCGUAUAUAACGCCGUUUGGUCAUGGGUCAAUGUGCAUAUGUAAAUGCAUGAAAUGCACGUGAAAAUAAGUUAAUAAAAUAUCUCGGUACGUCAUAAGAUCAUUAUGUCUCUGAUUAAUAUCAUGAAAUAAACUUUGCCAACUUACGUAUUUUUGAAACCCAUAAACAGAUGAUAGAAUAAUAUGACACAUGAGAGAACAUGAAUAUACACAUCUCUAAUAUUUCUACGAAUAGAGUAAUUUAUGAAAGUUGUGCAUUUGCUCGUUUCGUUCGUAUAGAUCAUGCUAAAAAGAAAAAAAGAAUAGCCUUUACAUACCUGGAGUAGAAAAAUACGUAUGAUAUUUUAGAAAAAAUUGCAUCGUACUCCUUUAGAAUUGCAAAAUUAUACGUUGUUACUGUGCCACGAAAUCUUGUUGGUUGAAGGAAUCAAUUGUAGCGUUUAGAAAAUGAAGAAAUCUUUCUUCAUGUCUGGUUGUAGAAAGUUUGGUUGAAAGACGUUAUGUAAAAUGGCUAACUUUGGUUGAAAGAAGAAUUAUCAUUCUGAUGGUUUUUGGU
This 1403-nucleotide long non-coding RNA is filed under the name Nicotiana tabacum (common tobacco). RNAcentral describes it as "long non-coding RNA (NTAB_LNC006361)". Lineage: Eukaryota; Viridiplantae; Streptophyta; Magnoliopsida; Solanales; Solanaceae. The record is from RNAcentral.